CCAGAGAAUUUAGCAGAGAUGCUUUAGUGCCUUCGGGAACUCUGAGACAGGUGCUGCAUGGCUGUCGUCAGCUCGUGUUGUGAAAUGUUGGGUUAAGUCCCGCAACGAGCGCAACCCUUAUCCUUUGUUGCCAGCACGUAAUGGUGGGAACUCAAAGGAGACUGCCGGUGAUAAACCGGAGGAAGGUGGGGAUGACGUCAAGUCAUCAUGGCCCUUACGAGUAGGGCUACACACGUGCUACAAUGGCGCAUACAAAGAGAAGCGACCUCGCGAGAGCAAGCGGACCUCAUAAAGUGCGUCGUAGUCCGGAUUGGAGUCUGCAACUCGACUCCAUGAAGUCGGAAUCGCUAGUAAUCGUAAAUCAGAAUGUUACGGUGAAUACGUUCCCGGGCCUUGUACACACCGCCCGUCACACCAUGGGAGUGGGUUGCAAAAGAAGUAGAUAGCUUAACCUUCGGGAGGGCGUCUACCACUUUGUGAUUCAUGACUGGGGUGAAGUCGUAACAAGGUAAGCGUAGUGCU
Molecule: ribosomal RNA, 522 nt
Filed under: uncultured bacterium
Lineage: Bacteria
Description: bacterial SSU rRNA
Rfam family: Bacterial small subunit ribosomal RNA
Source: RNAcentral